Molecule: ribosomal RNA, 406 nt
Filed under: uncultured bacterium
Lineage: Bacteria
Description: partial 16S ribosomal RNA
Rfam family: Bacterial small subunit ribosomal RNA
Source: RNAcentral
AUUGAACGCUGGCGGCAGGCCUAACACAUGCAAGUCGAACGAGUGGCGGACGGGUGAGUAAUGUCUGGGAAACUGCCCGAUGGAGGGGGAUAACUACUGGAAACGGUAGCUAAUACCGCAUACCAUCGGAUGUGCCCAGAUGGGAUUAGCUAGUGGGUGGGGUAACGGCUCACCUAGGCGACGAUCCCUAGCUGGUCUGAGAGGAUGCCCAGCCACCUUGGAAUGGAGACACGGUCCAGACUCCGAGGGGAGGCAGCAGUGGGGAAUAUUGGACAAUGGGCGAAAGCCUGAUCCAGCCAUGCCGCGUGGUUGAAGAAGGUCUUCGGAUGUUAAGGCACUUUAAGUUGGGAGGCGUUACCAACAGAAUAAGCACCGGCUAACUCCGUGCCAGCAGCCGCGGUAAUAC